RNAcentral lists this long non-coding RNA (280 nucleotides) under Mytilus galloprovincialis (Mediterranean mussel). Lineage: Eukaryota; Metazoa; Mollusca; Bivalvia; Mytilida; Mytilidae. The record is from RNAcentral.
AAAUUAUAUACUAAAGAUGUAUAUUCACUUUUUAUCGAUCGGGUAAGUGUUUCUCCUAUUUCACAACAAAGGUGGGAAGAAAGUUUUAAUAUAGAAAUUAGUGACGAAAAGUGGAACAAUAUUUAUUCACUAGCUUUUAAAUGUACUAUUGAAAGCAAACUACAAGCUUUUCAAUAUAAAGUGUUACACAGAAUAGUCUCACAUAAUUAUCUCCUUGAAAAAUAUAAACUUUCUUUAACUAAUGAAUGUGCCAGUUGUAAAGAAAUAGAAACUAUAGAGC